UGCCGAACAGCACAGCGCAGCGUCGCGCAGCCCGCCUGGAGCCCCCUCCCUCCCUCCUCCCUCCCUCCUUCCAUCCAUCCCUCCCUCUCUCCUCCUCCUCCCUCGCUCCCGCCCGCCCGCCCGCCGCUCUGAAGGAUGCCCGGUAAGUAGCGACGAGGACCGGCACCUCUGCCGGUGCGCGAUGUGAGGGGUUAGGGACUGCUUAUACCGCUGCCGCCCGCCGGGGGGGCGCAGGGCGGGGGGGCGAGGGGAGGGGAGGUGACAGCGAUCCGAGGCAGGAGACGGCGGGGCUCGCCGGGUGCUCCUCAGAAGGACUUUUAGCUGCGUGGCCGGGGCUUGGAUGUGGGCGCCGAGGGACGGGGUCUGUGCACCGCAGCGGGCACCGGCCGGGGCGGGGGCGCUUCGCCUGCGCUGCGGGUUGCUGCCUGCAGCACCGCGGCAAUACCUGGUUCCAUAAUCUUCUGAAAAGUUCACAGAAAUUAUUCCUAGCAUUGAGAGAGGAAGGUGCAUGCUGCUUUGUGCUCUGGAAAAGAGGUAAGUCAGCAUCCCUCACAGCAGCACUUUUGCCACAUCAUUUUGAGUACAUCAGCUUUUACUAGAGUCAGAGCACAGCUGGGUUGUUGAGCGAUAUGGUCUUGUCAACUUACGGAAAGUAAACUGGUAUAAGCAAAGACAGGGUUUUAAAUGAUCUAAGUCUACAGAUCUAAAUUCAAUUUGUAAAUUAUCUCAUUUUAAUAACUUUAAAUUGGGAUGUGUCUUUUUUGUUGUUGUUGUUGAAUUUAAACAGACAACACGAAACCACAAGAAAAAAACCAGAACCAUUCUUAAUGAGAACAUUCAUAUCAGCCACUAUACCUAUAUGACUUAUAUGUUAUAAAUAAAAACAUCUGUGUCCAGACAAGCCCCUUCAGACAAGGAAUAUUUUAUAGCUUACCAAACCAUCCCUCCUCUUCUGACUGCACCAAAGCUGUGCUGCUGUGCUUGGGGGGAUCUUUAUUUAUACCCUAUGUUAGCAUAAUGCCCAUUGGAGAUGUGGUUAUACCAGUUUCCUGUGCAUGAAGUUGUCUCAAUGACUACCUUUACUCUAUCAGUCCAACAAAUAUCUCUGCCAGUAAAACAAUCUCCCUGCUUCUAACUCAUUUAUGGGCUGCCUGUGAAAAACAGAAAGCCUGCUUCCAGCUGCUUGGACACUCUCUUCCACCAGAUUACCCUGUCUACCCAAUUACUCCAGCACGACCAUUUUAUUGUUCUUUACAUCUAUAAAACUGAUCCAGGCUAAAGUGUGACAGAAACACGAUAUUGUUCCAGCUGAACUGAGAUUUCCCUAGGAUUCAGCACAGCAAACUCAGUGUGAUGAGAGUGCCGCCUAGUAAAAAACAAAGAUCUCAUUCAGUUGUGUCUAAUAGAUAUUUUUAUGAGAGGUGUGAGAAAAUCUCAUCUUCUGCCAAGCCCUUAAUGGUGUUUGCUCUUACUACUAAAUAUAUAAAAUUCCUUUGGGAGAUUUCUAAUACAUAACCAACAUAACAUCACAUAUAUUAUCCUGGAGAUUUCUCAUAACUUGCCACCCCUAUUCUUUUACCUUAUGUGAUAUCUCAGAGUUAACUCUUUCAAUAGACAGGAGGUGUGAGGAGAAACAAAUUUAUUACACUCUUAUCAUGUUAGGACAUUGAUGACUGUCAAGUGCUGUGUCAUUUAGGCCAAACAGUGUAAUCCACACUAUUAACUGUUACAAACCAUCUGAAGAGAAAAGUUCCUGCAUGUAUUGAAGGUUUCUUUAGGCAAUGAAAAUGGCAGGACCUAGAGAUAUGCUGUGCCACUUACACUGAUUCAAAUGGAAGGUUUAAUUACCUCUAAUUUUGUUAUACCAUAGUAAAGCAAUGGAAAGAAGUAUCUGCUGCUUUGCUGUUGGCUAGCAGAGCUGAGGAACCGACCAAAACAAGAUAAGUUAUUGCAAAAAAGGUUCUGUCUGGCACCUGGGGCUA
Molecule: long non-coding RNA, 1982 nt
Organism: Corvus moneduloides (New Caledonian crow)
Lineage: Eukaryota; Metazoa; Chordata; Aves; Passeriformes; Corvidae
Source: Ensembl